UAUGACGGGUAUCCGGCCUGAGAGGGUGAACGGACACACUGGAACUGAGACACGGUCCAGACUCCUACAGGAGGCAGCAGUAGGGAAUAUUGCUCAAUGGGGGAAACCCUGAAGCAGCAACGCCGCGUGGAGGAUGAAGGUUUUAGGAUUGUAAACUCCUUUUGUGAGAGAAGAUUAUGACGGUAUCUCACGAAUAAGCACCGGCUAACUCCGUGCCAGCAGCCGCGGUAAUACGGAGGGUGCAAGCGUUACUCGGAAUCACUGGGCGUAAGGAGUGCGUAGGCGGGAAGGUAAGUCAGAUGUGAAAUCCUAUGGCUUAACCAUAGAACUGCAUUUGAAACUACUUUUCUAGAGUGUGGGAGAGGUAGGUGGAAU
Molecule: ribosomal RNA, 375 nt
Filed under: uncultured Helicobacter sp.
Lineage: Bacteria; Pseudomonadati; Campylobacterota; Epsilonproteobacteria; Campylobacterales; Helicobacteraceae
Description: bacterial SSU rRNA
Rfam family: Bacterial small subunit ribosomal RNA
Source: RNAcentral